CCUACGGGAGGCAGCAGUGGGGAAUAUUGGGCAAUGGACGCAACUCUGACCCAGCAACGCCGCGUGAAUGAUGAAGGCCUUCGGAUUGUAAAGUUCUGUGAUGGGGGAUGAACACAAUGACGGUACCCCAAUAGCAAGCCACGGCUAACUACGUGCCAGCAGCCGCGGUAAUACGGAGGUGGCAAGCGUUAUCCGGAAUGACUGGGCGUAAAGGGUGCGUAGGGGGUUCAGUAAGUUGGCGGUGUAAUUCCGGGGCUCAACCUCGGCGCUACCGCCAAAACUAUUAGACUAGAGUGCAGGAGAGGUAAGUGGAAUUCCUAGUGUAGCGGUGGAAUGCGUAGAUAUUAGGAGGAACCUCGGGGGCGAAGGCGACUUACUGGGCUGCAACUGACGCUGAGGCACGAAAGCGUGGGUAGCAAACAGGAUUAGAUACCCUUGUAGUC
This 443-nucleotide ribosomal RNA is filed under the name uncultured bacterium. RNAcentral describes it as "partial 16S ribosomal RNA". It matches the Rfam family "Bacterial small subunit ribosomal RNA", at positions 338 to 795 of the family's 1533-position model. The record is from RNAcentral.